AAUUUAUCCUAGGAGACUAAACAUACGACCUCUUUUCCCAUUUCCCUCUUUCUCAUUAUUACUCUUUUUUCUUUGAAUCAACUUACCCUAGAAACGUACACUUAAAAUCAAAAAAAAAAUCUGUAAUUUAUUUCUAUUAUUUACCUUUUCAUCCACUAUACUCAAACAAGCAACAAUUACAUGCAGAAAGAAACAUGGAAAACGAAUGCUGAUGUUAGGAAGCCAUCAUGUUAAUCAGCCAUUGUAUCAGUUAUUACCAGCUUACGCACGCUACGUAGCCAGGCCAUACUACCCUUAUCAAAUAGUCAAAUACAGAUGUCUACUAGUAGCAGUUAUGAGCCAAAAGAAGGUUCUCUUUCCUUCUUCAAGGUUGUUCGUUACCCUUCUUCUCCUCAUCUGGCAUUGCCAAAGGUUUUUGUGGAGAGGUAUUUGGACAAGAUCCCUAAAAACCCAAUUCUCACAACUGCAACAGGGGAGCAUUCAUGGAAUUUAAAGAUCACAAAGAUUGGUGAAGAUUACUGUUUUUCUAGCGGGUGGGAUAAAUUGGUCAAAGAUGCCCACUUGUGUAUUAGGGACAUUGUUGUCUUUUGGCUACUUGAUCCCUUCACCUUUCUAGUGUCGUUCUUAGAUGAACAUGGAUGUGAAAAAGAUUUUUAGAACAUAACAUCAUUGUUCAAUUUAUGUGUCUCUAAAUGAUAAUUUAGUUGUGAUUCAUAGUACAUUUUAAAAUGUAAAAAGAGUCUCGUAACUUCUUAAUCAAAAAGCAUUAUUUUUUCAA
Erigeron canadensis is the source of this 778-nucleotide long non-coding RNA. RefSeq lists it as uncharacterized. The transcript is spliced from 3 exons. The record is from RefSeq and is a predicted model, not a curated record. NCBI's taxonomy places the organism in Eukaryota, Viridiplantae, Streptophyta, Magnoliopsida, Asterales, Asteraceae.